CCUGGGCAACAGAGCAAGAGUCUGUCAAAAUAAAAAAGAAGAAAAAAAGAAGAAAGAUUUUAAUUAUUUUUAUCAACAAUUAUACAUUUUCUCUACUGUUAUGAAUUGCCACAACUUGGAGGCUUAGAACAACACAAAUUAGUACUCUCACAGUCCUGAAGGCUACAGCUCUGCAAUCAAGAUAUCAGCAAGGCCAUCAUUCCACUAAGGCUCUAAGGAAGAAUCCAUUUUUGCCUCUUCCUGCUUCUGGGAUGCAUCCACUUUAUUAGACGGCAAACUAGAAAAUGCUUCCUACAGUCGCCACAUAAAAAAAUCUUGUGUGCAUCAUGGAAUCCUAAACGAAGAAUUAUCAUCAUGCCAAACAAAUUAUCAUCGGUGCCAAUGAUGUGAGAAUUGAGCAGAAAGAGCAAUGCAACAGGUUUUCUUUUCUGGCCAUGCCAAGGUGGAAGGUGAUCUUAAUUGAAGAAAGAAUGCUCAAAGUAGGUAUGUGCAGUUUCAGAAGUACAGCUAUAUAAUAUCCGCUAUGCCUUGUCCAGUAACCCUCUCCUUAAUCCUGGCUCUCACGUGGAUUGUCCUUCCUAUAUUAUAAUCCUCCACAUGUCUUUCCUUUACAGAGUUAAUCCCGAAUUACGUAUUUCAAAUAUCUAAUAUAGUUGUGUUAGAAAAAGAAAUUCUCAAGUUCUGAGAUUAUGGAAUAUCCUGAAAGAAUGCUAAAGCAACUAUACCCCUUAAAGAAAGAUCAUUAUCAACUUGUAGAAAACUAAUCCUAUAGUGUGGUGAGAAUUUUUGGCAGUCAUAUUGCACCACUCUCAUACUUUUAACAAUGCAUUUGUGAGAACCACCUACAAUAAAAAUAUGGCAAUAAGAUUAGCAACUAGUGUUAUUUGUUAUAUUUUCGGCAAUGCUAUGUCUUAUCAACAAAUACUUACCAGCAUGUACAUUGCUGCUCAGAAACACAUUUGAUGAUGGAUCAGAAGUUUCCUCCUAUUUAAUGUGGUGAUAAAAAUAACUUCUAAGUAAUUCAGUUCAUAGAACCAUGAAGGACUGGGUUUGAGAUUAUGCUUUGAAUACCAUAAAGUGAUGAACACAGAGACUGAGAAAAAAAGAGGAGGAGAAGGAGUGGAAGGAUAAAUCUUUUUUUCUGGCAAGUAAGUGGACGUAGCCUUGGGACCCAAGAGGGUGGCACCAGGCCAGUUUUAUACUCAUUCUGGACAUGUGCAGCAGAUGGCAUGGCAGCUACUCCAUUUACACUGCAAUGAUCCCAUUAUCAUUUUAUUUUUCUUGGCACUGGGAUAACGUAUAAGGGGCAUCUCUGGUGAGUCAAGGUAGAGUAAAGCUUGUGAUCCAUUGAUUUAACUGGACAAUAGAAGACAAGACCAGAAAUAAACAUGACAUAGUGUAAAGGUAAAGAAAAUGUGAAGAAAACGGGUGGGGCAGUAGGAGACACUGAAUUCACAUAUCAUUGAAAACCAAAAUAUUAGAAGAGCUUAAGUUUUAAAGAAUGCUGGCAAAUGUUUAAGCGAUCAGCACUGCUGGUUUACUAUAAACAUAAUGGACUACACGUUGAGUACCUUGACAUAUGAGUAAAUUCAUAUAGUACAAAUCAUUCAACACACAUAUCUUGAGAACAAGUGAGAAGACAGCCAUCUGCAAACCAGAGAGAAAGUCCUCAUAAGGAACUGAAUCAAACUUCACCUUGAUCUUGGGCUUCCCAGCCUUUGCAACUGUGAGAAAUAAAUGUGUCUUUAUGCC
RNAcentral lists this long non-coding RNA (1752 nucleotides) under Homo sapiens (human). Its description in RNAcentral is "HSALNT0180151". The record is from RNAcentral. Lineage: Eukaryota; Metazoa; Chordata; Mammalia; Primates; Hominidae.